CCUAGCUAUGCGCCUCGUGCCUGGGAGCCUUAGGGCCACACGGAAGGGUAGAAAUCAGUUUCAGGUCAGGAGAGAUUCCUGCUCCCAGCCCAGGCCCAGACGGCAACAGAAGCUCAUGGUGAGUUCACCCCGGUCCUGGUCUGGCACCUCAUUGCUGGGGAGGUCUCGGCAGUCCAGAGGAGGUAGCCCCCACCCUGGGCAUCCAUCCGCCCAGGCCCCAGCCUCCGCGGGAAGACCCAAUUACAGAAGAGAGAAGUAUGUGGAGACCCUUGGCUGAGGUUGGGGGUCCUGGAAGCUGGAGGUAGUGUUCCUGGGUAUAGCAUGAUGGGUUGAUGGGUGGGUUUUAUUCUCUUUUUAAGGAUUUUUUAUAUUUUUCAAAUUUCCCUUUUGAAAUGUAUUCAUUUUGCAAUCAGAAAACAAAACAGGCCAGGCGUGGUGGUUCACACCUGUAAUCCCAGCACUUUGGGAGGCUGAGGCGGGUGGAUCACCUGAGGCCAGGAGUCCAAGACCAGCCUGGCCAACUUGGUGAAACCCCGUCUCUACUAAGAAUACAAAAAUUAGCCAGGCGUGGUGGUGGGCACCUGUAGCCCCAGCUACUUGGGAGGCUGAGGCACGAGAAUCGCUCGAACCCAGGAGGCGGAGCUUGCAGUGAGCUGAGAUCGCGCCACUGCACUCCAGCCUGGGCAACAGAGAGAGACUCUGUCUCAAAAAAAAGAAAACAAAACAAACCAGUGAACACUACUCCAAACAAAUGUCCAGGCCCAGAGAUCAGAGGCUGCAAGGUGGGCUCUGUCCCCAUGUCCCCAGCCACACUGCUGGGGAACCCACAGGGUGCCAGGUCCCCUCAGCCCUGUCCCUGCCCCACAGGCCCCUGGAGUGAUUGUAGGCUCUAGACUGCCUCAGUUUGCCCCCAGCCUCCCCUAGGUGCCCGGGGAGCCACUGGCCAGCCUCCGGUCGCACUCCACUCAGGGCUUGACGGGGAAACAGAAACCAGCCUUGAACGCCUUCCCACGCCCCAAAACGCCAGGGUGCACAGUGAGGGGAGCCCUGGUCAGAUGGCACAGAUGGCAUUCCUGCCCGCGAGAGGCCCAGGACCCCGGGGAGCCAGAGGGGCAGGGUGCCCGCAGCGUCCAGGCAAAUGGGCCCAGGCCCCCCGACACCCAGCUGAGGCCAGCUUCCCCCAGAGCGGUUUGGAGCCCUGCCCUGGAGAGGGGGCAGCUCGCCCAGCGUGGGGGUGAUGCCACCAGGUGGUGAGGCUGCUGGGCAGGGCUGGACCCCCUUUUAGACUCCCCUUCCGAUUUCUGUGUCCCUGAGUCUUGCCCAUGCUACAGCCUAACCCUGCCGUGGCCAAGGGACAGCGGGGCAACAGUGCCCUCCCCGAGCUUGCCCUGGGACAGCCGCCUCACUCGGAGGAAGCUGGGUUUUGCCGAAUUUUCUGCAUGAUGGGGCUCCGUGGGCUGGGGGCCACUUGCCUCCCUGCACCCGUCCCAGGACCCCAGGCUGCAAGCUGGAAACCCCAUGGGGGCGAGUGGAGCCCUGGGACUCCACAGGAGAGGGUCCUCUGUGACAAGAGGCUCCAGGGGACACAGGCUUGCGAACAUGGGGGCUGGGGUGGGGUCAAGGUAUGAACAGCGCAGGCCUAGAAGCCUCAGACUCUGAGGGGCAGGAAAGAGUCCCCAAAACGGAAUCAGAGGAGGAGCCCGGGGUGGGGGGAGGAGGAAAGGGGCGCAGUGGGCGCUGCCAUCCCUCCUUGGGGCACAUUUCUUCCCGCCCUGACCAAGAGGAAGGGACCCUCCUUCCUCCAGAAAGGACUUCUCCGAGCCCAGGACACACGAGGAAAGCGAGGCUCAGUCACCAGGAAGCCCUCACUCUCCGUCAAGGCCACCAAACGGGAAGAAGGGGAGCCAGGAUUUGAUCCCAGGCUUCCCUCCCAGCCUGCACGCUGCUGCACUACCCAACCCUGAGGACCCCAAGAACCUCUGAGAAUGUGGGAUUUUGGUUCUGAGCCUCCACGGGGCCCGUUGGUGGCCUCUGGUUCAGGACAACCAGAAUUGGCCCAGACAGCCAAGCAGCCAAGGGGCAGGCUUUGUAGAGUGUGGGGGUCUGUCCUCCCUCAUGGCCAGAAGCAGAUCCCACCCCUCAAAUGCAGGUGGGGUGGGGCAGGGGCUCCGGCUCCGUCAUCUGGGCUCCAGUGAGGCUGCCCGCUCCUGCUCACCUGCACAGGAGGCUGAGGGUGG
Molecule: long non-coding RNA, 2237 nt
Filed under: Homo sapiens (human)
Lineage: Eukaryota; Metazoa; Chordata; Mammalia; Primates; Hominidae
Description: non-protein coding lnc-TMEM105-2:16
Source: RNAcentral